This 251-nucleotide long non-coding RNA is filed under the name Elaeis guineensis (African oil palm). RNAcentral's name for it is "long non-coding RNA (EGUI_LNC049115)". The record is from RNAcentral. Lineage: Eukaryota; Viridiplantae; Streptophyta; Magnoliopsida; Arecales; Arecaceae.
CUGCCGAUCCCAACUUCGGAAGCCAAUUCAGAUUGUUUGUCAAUUUCUGUUUUAAUCACACAUUUUAGUCACCAGCAUUGGAGCGGUCCUUAUCUCCACUUACCACGCCACUUACCGAUCCAAAGCUUAGCAGUCAGGAUAGAUCCCAUCUGAGGGUUCCACACCUCUUUUCAAAUUCAAAACAAUUUAGCUAACUCCUAAGCUAAUAAGAUAGGUAUAAUUACCGCAUCCCAGACUCUCGGCCCCAAAUC